GACUCUUGACAACUAAUAUCUCGGCUCUCGCAUCGAUGAAGAAGGUAGCGAAAUGCGAUGCUUGGUGUGAAUUGCAGAAUCUCGUGAACCAUCGAGUCUUUGAAUGCAAGUUGUGCCUGAAGCCAUUUGGCCGAGGGCACGUCUGCAUGGGCGUCA
RNAcentral lists this ribosomal RNA (156 nucleotides) under Solanum lycopersicum (tomato). RNAcentral describes it as "5.8S ribosomal RNA". It matches the Rfam family "5.8S ribosomal RNA". From Rfam's summary of the family: 5.8S ribosomal RNA (5.8S rRNA) is a component of the large subunit of the eukaryotic ribosome. It is transcribed by RNA polymerase I as part of the 45S precursor that also contains 18S and 28S rRNA. Functionally, it is thought that 5.8S rRNA may be involved in ribosome translocation. The record is from Rfam by way of RNAcentral. Lineage: Eukaryota; Viridiplantae; Streptophyta; Magnoliopsida; Solanales; Solanaceae.